This 858-nucleotide ribosomal RNA is filed under the name Listeria monocytogenes. Its description in RNAcentral is "partial 23S ribosomal RNA". It matches the Rfam family "Bacterial large subunit ribosomal RNA", at positions 674 to 1528 of the family's 2925-position model. Lineage: Bacteria; Bacillati; Bacillota; Bacilli; Caryophanales; Listeriaceae. The record is from RNAcentral. RNAcentral also lists the same sequence under 1 other name.
AAAGCGAGUCUGAAUAGGGCGCAUAAGUAACAGGUCGUAGACCCGAAACCAGGUGAUCUACCCAUGUCCAGGAUGAAGGUAAGGUAAUACUUACUGGAGGUCCGAACCCACGCACGUUGAAAAGUGCGGGGAUGAGGUGUGGGUAGCGGAGAAAUUCCAAUCGAACUUGGAGAUAGCUGGUUCUCUCCGAAAUAGCUUUAGGGCUAGCCUCGAGGUAAAGAGUCAUGGAGGUAGAGCACUGUUUGGACUAGGGGCCCUUCUCGGGUUACCGAAUUCAGAUAAACUCCGAAUGCCAUGUACUUAUACUCGGGAGUCAGACUGCGAGUGAUAAGAUCCGUAGUCGAAAGGGAAACAGCCCAGACCACCAGUUAAGGUCCCCAAAUAUAUGUUAAGUGGAAAAGGAUGUGGGGUUGCUUAGACAACCAGGAUGUUGGCUUAGAAGCAGCCACCAUUGAAAGAGUGCGUAAUAGCUCACUGGUCGAGUGACCCCGCGCCGAAAAUGUACCGGGGCUAAACAUAUUACCGAAACUGUGGAUGAACCUCUUCGGAGGUUCGUGGUAGGAGAGCGUUCUAAGGGCGGUGAAGUCAGACCGGAAGGACUGGUGGAGCGCUUAGAAGUGAGAAUGCCGGUAUGAGUAGCGAAAGAAGGGUGAGAAUCCCUUCCACCGAAUAUCUAAGGUUUCCUGAGGAAGGCUCGUCCGCUCAGGGUUAGUCGGGACCUAAGCCGAGGCCGAUAGGCGUAGGCGAUGGACAACAGGUAGAGAUUCCUGUACCAGUGCUAAUUGUUUAACCGAUGGGGUGACACAGAAGGAUAGGGAAUCGCACGAAUGGAAAUGUGCGUCCAAGCAGUGAGUGUGA